This 117-nucleotide ribosomal RNA is filed under the name Bdellovibrio sp. 28-41-41. Lineage: Bacteria; Pseudomonadati; Bdellovibrionota; Bdellovibrionia; Bdellovibrionales; Pseudobdellovibrionaceae. The record is from RNAcentral. RNAcentral also lists the same sequence under 1 other name.
AAUGGUGUCUAUAGCAAGAGAGAUACACCUGAUCCCAUUCCGAACUCAGCAGUUAAGCCUCUUAGCGGCGAUGGUAUUGCAUGCGCAAGCGUGUGAAAGAGUAGCACGACGCCAGUC